AUGAGAUGGGACAAUGGGACAGGACAGUGGGAUGGCACAAUGAGAUGGGACAAGUGGAUAGGAUGGGAUAAUAGGAUGGGACAGUGGGAUGGGACAAGUGGAUGGGAUGGGACAACGGAAUUGGAUGAGAUGGGACAAUGGGAUGGGACAAUAAGCACCUCAGGAUAUCCCAUCCUUUUCCCUGCUCCCUUCCUAGGAAUUCCCAGUGUCCUCGUUCCCUCUGGAGCAGCACCCCAUGCCCUGUGUGCAGUGUCCUCACACCCCGUGGAGGCACCGCCGCUCCUGUGGGUGCCCCCGGCCACCUCUCACUGUCACAGGGGUCACAGCCCUGGCACCAGUGUCCCUCUCCUCCAGUGCUCACGUGCCAUGAGCUCCAGCAGCCCAGGGACCCCUGUGGCCCAGGGACAGUGGCCAGGGGACUCCAUCCUGCAGUCCAGGGAUUCUGCAGCCCCAUCCUGCAGCCCAGGGACCCCUGCAGCCCAGGGACCCCUGCAGCCCCAUCCUGCAGCCCAGGGACCCCCAUGGCCCAUCCUGCAGCCCAGGGACUCUGCAGCCCCAUCCUGCAGCCCAGGGACCCCCAUGGCCCAUCCUGCAGCCCAGGGACCCCCAUGGCCCAUCCUGCAGCGCAGGGACCCCUGCAGCCCCAUCCUGCAGCCCAGGGACCCCUGCAGUCCCAUCCUGCAGCCCAGGGACCCCCAUGGCCCAUCCUGCAGCCCAGGGAUUCUGCAGCUCCAUCCUGCAGCCCAGGGACCCCUGCAGCCCCAUCCUGCAGCCCAGGGACCCCCAUGGCCCAUCCUGCAGCACAGGGACCCCUGUGGCCCAGGGACAGUGGCCAGGGGACUCCAUCCUGCAGCCCAGGGACCCCUGCAGUCCCAUCCUGCAGCCCAGGGACCCCUGCAGUCCCAUCCUGCAGCCCAGGGUCCCCUGCAGCCCCAUCCUGCAGCCCAGGGACCCCUGCAGCCCCAUCCUGCAGCAGAACUGAGGGACAGGUCAGGUCUCCUUGUCCCACAGCCCCAGCACAGCAGGGCUGGGCUCCCAGCUGUCCUGAGCAGGAGCUGUCUGUCCCUCUGCGGGUGUUGCUGCCCACAGCCCCCGCCCUGGGGUCUCUGCCUGCCCCCCUCAGGGCACUCUCUCUCCCCAUGUCCCUGUCCUUGGUGGGUGCACGCAUGGUGUAGCCCCAAGGCUCCCGGACACCCCCGGAGCCCCUCUGGGAAAGCUCUGCCAGGCAAAAGAAAUCUCAGCACAGCCCGAGUGGAGCCAGCAGGAGUUUAA
RNAcentral lists this long non-coding RNA (1272 nucleotides) under Taeniopygia guttata (zebra finch). Its description in RNAcentral is "lncRNA (ENSTGUG00000029160.1)". The record is from RNAcentral. Lineage: Eukaryota; Metazoa; Chordata; Aves; Passeriformes; Estrildidae.